This is a small nuclear RNA of Cavia aperea (Brazilian guinea pig), 112 nucleotides long. The record is from Ensembl. NCBI's taxonomy places the organism in Eukaryota, Metazoa, Chordata, Mammalia, Rodentia, Caviidae.
GUGUCAUAUGAAAAGAAGAAAUUGACAAGAAUAGAAGAAGAUCCUUGGCCUGACAACAGAUAUAUGGGUAAGGCAUUGCCACCUACUUCAUGGCAUCUAAUUAUCAUUUUCN